RNAcentral lists this ribosomal RNA (428 nucleotides) under uncultured organism. RNAcentral describes it as "bacterial SSU rRNA". It matches the Rfam family "Bacterial small subunit ribosomal RNA", at positions 355 to 775 of the family's 1533-position model. The record is from RNAcentral.
UGGGGAAUUUUGGACAAUGGGCGAAAGCCUGAUCCAGCCAUGCCGCGUGAGUGAAGAAGGCCUUCGGGUUGUAAAGCUCUUUUAGUCGGAAAGAAAGAGUUGCAAUGAAUAAUUGUGAUUUAUGACGGUACCGACAGAAAAAGCACCGGCUAACUACGUGCCAGCAGCCGCGGUAAUACGUAGGGUGCGAGCGUUAAUCGGAAUUACUGGGCGUAAAGGGUGCGCAGGCGGUCUUGCAAGUCAGAUGUGAAAGCCCCGGGCUUAACCUGGGAAUUGCGUUUGAAACUACAAGACUAGAGUGCAGCAGAGGGGAGUGGAAUUCCAUGUGUAGCAGUGAAAUGCGUAGAGAUGUGGAAGAACACCGAUGGCGAAGGCAGCUCCCUGGGUUGACACUGACGCUCAUGCACGAAAGCGUGGGGAGCAAACAG